CCUACGGGAGGCAGCAGUGGGGGAUAUUGCACAAUGGGGGAAACCCUGAUGCAGCGACGCCGCGUGAGUGAAGAAGUAUUUCGGUAUGUAAAGCUCUAUCAGCAGGGAAGAAAAUGACAAUACCUGACUAAGAAGCCCCGGCUAACUACGUGCCAGCAGCCGCGGUAAUACGUAGGGGGCAAGCGUUAUCCGGAUUUACUGGGUGUAAAGGGAGCGUAGACGGCCAUGUAAGUCAGAAGUGAAAGCCCAGGGCCCAACCCCGGGACUGCUUUUGAAACUGUGGGGCUGGAGUGCAGGAGGGGUAAGCGGAAUUCCUAGUGUAGCGGUGAAAUGCGUAGAUAUUAGGAGGAACACCAGUGGCGAAGGCGGCCUACUGGACUGAAACUGACGUUGAGGCUCGAAAGCGUGGGGAGCAAACAGGAUUAGAUACCCCGGUAGUC
This 440-nucleotide ribosomal RNA is filed under the name uncultured bacterium. RNAcentral's name for it is "partial 16S ribosomal RNA". It matches the Rfam family "Bacterial small subunit ribosomal RNA", at positions 338 to 795 of the family's 1533-position model. The record is from RNAcentral.